Molecule: ribosomal RNA, 254 nt
Filed under: uncultured bacterium
Lineage: Bacteria
Description: partial 16S ribosomal RNA
Rfam family: Bacterial small subunit ribosomal RNA
Source: RNAcentral
GACGUAGGGCGCGAGCGUUGUCCGGAUUUAUUGGGCGUAAAGAGCUCGUAGGCGGUUUGUCGCGUCGAAUGUGAAAACCCGGGGCUCAACCCCGGGCCUGCAUUCGAUACGGGCAGACUAGAGUUCGGUAGGGGAGUCUGGAAUUCCUGGUGUAGCGGUGAAAUGCGCAGAUAUCAGGAGGAACACCGGUGGCGAAGGCGGGACUCUGGGCCGAUACUGACGCUGAGGAGCGAAAGCGUGGGGGAGCAAACAGG